Molecule: ribosomal RNA, 301 nt
Filed under: uncultured bacterium
Lineage: Bacteria
Description: partial 16S ribosomal RNA
Rfam family: Bacterial small subunit ribosomal RNA
Source: RNAcentral
CAGCCGCCGCGGGAAUACGUAGGGGGCAAGCGUUAUCCGGAAUUACUGGGUGUAAAGGGAGCGUAGACGGUUAAACAAGUCUGAAGUGAAAUGCCGGGGCUCAACCCCGGAGCUGCUUUGGGAACUGUAGAACUGGAGUGUCGGAGGGGUAAGCGGAAUUCCCAGUGUAGCGGUGAAAUGCGUAGAUAUUGGGAGGAACACCGGCGGCGAAGGCGGCUUACUGGACGACAACUGACGUUGAGGCUCGAAGGCGUGGGUAGCAAACAGGAUUAGAGACCCCUGUAGUCCCUGUCUCUUAUAC